UAUUGCGCAAUGGGUGGCAACCCUGACGCAGCAAUGCCGCGUGAGUGAAGAAGGCCUUCGGGUCGUAAAGCUCUUUUAUGGGGGAAGAUGAUGACGGUACCCCAUGAAUAAGCACCGGCUAACUACGUGCCAGCAGCCGCGGUAAUACGUAGGGUGCGAGCGUUGUUCGGAAUUACUGGGCGUAAAGGGCGUGCAGGCGGAUUGGCAAGCCGGAGGUGAAAGCCCGGGGCUCAACCCCGGAGGGUCUUUCGGAACUGCCAGUCUUGAGAGGGUCAGGGGCCAGCGGAAUUCCUGGUGUAGAGGUGAAAUUCGUAGAGAUCAGGAGGAACACCGGCGGCGAAAGCGGCUGGCUGGGGCCACUCUGACGCUGAGGCGCGAAAGCGUGGGGAGCAAACAGGAUUAGAUACCCUGGUAGUCCACGCCGUAAACGAUGGGCACUAAGCGUCCGACGGGUUCGACCCUGUUGGGUGCUGCAGUUAACGCGUUAAGUGCCCCGCCUGGGGAGUACGGUCGCAAGACUA
This 521-nucleotide ribosomal RNA is filed under the name uncultured delta proteobacterium. RNAcentral's name for it is "bacterial SSU rRNA". It matches the Rfam family "Bacterial small subunit ribosomal RNA", at positions 362 to 896 of the family's 1533-position model. The record is from RNAcentral. Lineage: Bacteria; Deltaproteobacteria.